UUUUCUUCCCCAGUCGAGUUAAAUGCGCAUUUCCUUAGUGAAAUCGUUUUCCCUGCACGAGUCGAGUAUCUUCAGUUUUAUCCUGAAUUGUUCGUUUCCCCUGCAUAUGUUGUUAUUUUCCCGGCUGAAUCUUUCCAUUUUGUGUGGAAUCCCUCGAGUCCACCCAGUAGUUUUGAGUCGUAGCCUGGCCUACGCAUAACUCCUUUUUUUCCCUAGAGUCUAUGUCUCCCCAUCGAGUUUUACUCAUGGAAUGCAUUAUGCUCCUGCGGACUUUCG
Molecule: long non-coding RNA, 276 nt
Filed under: Lathyrus oleraceus (garden pea)
Lineage: Eukaryota; Viridiplantae; Streptophyta; Magnoliopsida; Fabales; Fabaceae
Description: Pisum sativum (pea) long non-coding RNA (PSAT_LNC007370)
Source: RNAcentral